AAGAAAUGAUGAACAGGAAGAAGGUCAUGAAUAACCGACAAUAUUUGCAUCGAUGCUGAUGCUUGCAGUAACAAAUCUCAGGAAUGUAUGAUCUGUGUCAAAGAAGAAGUUAGAAAACUAACCUGGUCCGUUAUUUCUUCUGCCGCAUAACAGCAUAUGAAGAGCCUAAUUAUUGCUACAAAACUACCCAUAAAAAAUUUCACUCUCUCUACAAUAUUUUUUUCCGUAUUCUGCAAUUUAUUAUAUUUAGGAUUAUAACAGAUAUUAUCAGUUUGUGCACAUAUCUUACAGCUAAAGUAUUAUAGAUCAAUCAAAAAGUAGGAUUCGAUUUUUACAUUAUUGCACACAUUCAGUAGAAAAACUUAUUCAUCAAUCAAGUAAUCACUAUCGAUGUCUAUAAUUAGACAUUAUUGUCUAUGAUAUAGACAUUAGCAAUAUUUAAUUGCCAGUAUUAUAUGUAAAUUAAUUUAAACAAGUGAAAAUAUCGAUCCGAAAUUUGUUUGACUAACACAGUAUAUAAAAUUUAGAAAAUAUACUUGAUAAUCAACGCAUACUCACAUUUAAUACUAACAGACUGAAUAUCAUCGCAUCAAUGAAUGUAACCAUCGCUGUCUUGAAAAUUAUGAUAUUAAAGAUACGAUUUAUUUCUCUCACGUAACUAAAAUAUCACAUAAUACAAUAAAGUAUAAAAUAUAUACAUUA
This is a long non-coding RNA of Ooceraea biroi (clonal raider ant), 702 nucleotides long. RefSeq lists it as uncharacterized. The record is from RefSeq and is a predicted model, not a curated record. Lineage: Eukaryota; Metazoa; Arthropoda; Insecta; Hymenoptera; Formicidae.